UGGGGAAUAUUGGACAAUGGGCGAAAGCCUGAUCCAGCCAUGCCGCGUGUGUGAAGAAGGUCUUCGGAUUGUAAAGCACUUUAAGUUGGGAGGAAGGGCAGUAAGCGAAUACCUUGCUGUUUUGACGUUACCGACAGAAUAAGCACCGGCUAACUCUGUGCCAGCAGCCGCGGUAAUACAGAGGGUGCAAGCGUUAAUCGGAAUUACUGGGCGUAAAGCGCGCGUAGGUGGUUCGUUAAGUUGAAUGUAAAAGCCCCGGGCUCAACCUGGAAAUUCCACCAAAACCGGCCGAGUAAGGGUAGGGCAGGGGGUGGGGAAAUUCCCUGUGUAGCGUUAAAUGGGUAAGAAUUGGGAAGGACCACCGUGGGGAAAGGCAACCACUGGGGCUCAUCCUGACCCUGGGGGGCAAAGGCGGGGGAGGCAAACAG
RNAcentral lists this ribosomal RNA (428 nucleotides) under Pseudomonadota bacterium. Its description in RNAcentral is "Proteobacteria bacterium partial 16S ribosomal RNA". It matches the Rfam family "Bacterial small subunit ribosomal RNA", at positions 355 to 775 of the family's 1533-position model. The record is from RNAcentral. Lineage: Bacteria; Pseudomonadati; Pseudomonadota.